This 299-nucleotide signal recognition particle RNA is filed under the name Aotus nancymaae (Ma's night monkey). RNAcentral's name for it is "Metazoan signal recognition particle RNA (ENSANAG00000000087.1)". It matches the Rfam family "Metazoan signal recognition particle RNA". Rfam says of the family: The signal recognition particle (SRP) is a universally conserved ribonucleoprotein. Lineage: Eukaryota; Metazoa; Chordata; Mammalia; Primates; Aotidae. The record is from RNAcentral.
GCUGGGCGCUGUGGCGUGUGCCUGUAGUCCCAGCUACUUGGGAGGCUGAGGUGGGAGGAUCUCUUGAGCCCAGGAGUUCUGGGCUGCAGUGCACUAUGCCGAUGGGGUGUCUGCACUAAGUUUGGUAUCAAUAUGGUGACCUCCCGGGAGCGGGGGACCACCAGGUUGCCUAAGGAGGGGUGAACCGGCCCAGGUCAGAAACGGAGCAGGUCAAAACUCCCGUGCUGAUCAGUAGUGGGAUCGCGCCUGUGAAUAGCCGCUGCACUCCAGCCUGGGCAACAUAGCGAGACCCCAUCUCU